This 73-nucleotide transfer RNA is filed under the name Camelus bactrianus (Bactrian camel). It matches the Rfam family "tRNA". Rfam says of the family: Transfer RNA (tRNA) molecules are approximately 80 nucleotides in length. Their secondary structure includes four short double-helical elements and three loops (D, anti-codon, and T loops). Lineage: Eukaryota; Metazoa; Chordata; Mammalia; Artiodactyla; Camelidae. The record is from Rfam by way of RNAcentral. RNAcentral also lists the same sequence under 2 other names.
GAGGGUAUAGCUCACGUGGCUGAGCACAUGCCUAGCAUGCAUGAGGUCCUGGGUUCAAUCCCCAUUACCUCCU